This 506-nucleotide ribosomal RNA is filed under the name uncultured bacterium. RNAcentral's name for it is "partial 16S ribosomal RNA". It matches the Rfam family "Bacterial small subunit ribosomal RNA", at positions 29 to 523 of the family's 1533-position model. The record is from RNAcentral.
AGUGAACGCUGGCGGUAGGCCUAACACAUGCAAGUCGAACGGCAGCACAGGAGAGCUUGCUCUCUGGGUGGCGAGUGGCGGACGGGUGAGGAAUACAUCGGAAUCUACUUUUUCGUGGGGGAUAACGUAGGGAAACUUACGCUAAUACCGCAUACGACCUACGGGUGAAAGCAGGGGACCUUCGGGCCUUGCGCGAUUGAAUGAGCCGAUGUCGGAUUAGCUAGUUGGCGGGGUAAAGGCCCACCAAGGCGACGAUCCGUAGCUGGUCUGAGAGGAUGAUCAGCCACACUGGAACUGAGACACGGUCCAGACGCCUACGGGAGGCAGCAGUGGGGAAUAUUGGACAAUGGGCGCAAGCCUGAUCCAGCCAUACCGCGUGGGUGAAGAAGGCCUUCGGGUUGUAAAGCCCUUUUGUUGGGAAAGAAAUCCAGCUGGCUAAUACCCGGUUGGGAUGGCGGUACCCAAAGAAUAAGCACCGGCUAACUUCGUGCCAGCCGCCGCCGUAA